UACGUAGGGUGCGAGCGUUGUCCGGAAUUAUUGGGCGUAAAGAGCUUGUAGGCGGUUUGUCGCGUCUGCUGUGAAAGUCCGGGGCUCAACCUCGGAUCGGCCGUGGCGACUCGUGGGCUGGAGCACUGUAGAGGCGGGUGGAAUUCCGGGUGUAGCGGUGGAAUGCGUAGAGAUCCGGAAGAACACCAGUGGCGAAGGCGGCCCGCUGGGCAGUGGCUGACGCUGAGGCGCGACAGCGUGGGGAGCAAACAGG
RNAcentral lists this ribosomal RNA (253 nucleotides) under uncultured bacterium. RNAcentral's name for it is "partial 16S ribosomal RNA". It matches the Rfam family "Bacterial small subunit ribosomal RNA", at positions 524 to 776 of the family's 1533-position model. The record is from RNAcentral.